Molecule: long non-coding RNA, 259 nt
Filed under: Capsella rubella
Lineage: Eukaryota; Viridiplantae; Streptophyta; Magnoliopsida; Brassicales; Brassicaceae
Description: long non-coding RNA (CRUB_LNC002172)
Source: RNAcentral
AAGUUCGAUGUUUUAAGCAAUAAGGUAGCUCUCUUGGAAGGCAACCAAACCUCCACUUCUUCCGGCCAGCUCCCAGGAAAGUCUUUCAUGAAUCCCAAAGAGUUUGCUACUGCUCAUGCGAUUACACUGGGAAAUCCAUACCCAACUAUCACUGAGGACAGUGAGGUUCAAUAGGGGGAGGAUUCAGCCCAAACUUGUGUCUUACACGGUGAACCCGAUCGAGUGUACAGCAGACACGACCGUGCCAACAUCGAACCCG